CCAGUAUCACUUUCCCUACCUCAAAAAAAGCACAACCUGAAAGAUUUUCCACCACAGAUAAUCCAAGGCUACCCCACAGUAUAUGGGUGGGCAGUUCCCAAAGCAGCAGCUUCCCCAAGGCCCAUAGCCACCCCCAACAUUGCUUUGCCAGAGUGUGUGUGCCAGCAGGUUUUGCCUUCCCUGCCCUGUCAGUAAGCAUGUCUGCAUGCAUCCAACACUGCCACAGGAGUGAAUCUUCUUCAACUAGCUAGAGAGGCCAACAUUCAAAUUCAGGAAAUGCAGAGAACCCCAGUAAGAUACUUCAAAAUAAGAUCAAUUAAGCCAUCAUAGAUGGACAGGACACUCAUUACAAUUUUCUAUGAUUGGACUAAAACCUAACUAGACUCAGUCCCCGGGUUUUGAAACAUCUCCCCUUUGAUUUCUCCUCUUUAAUUGCCACCUUUGUGCUACCUCCCACUGUCCGCAUUUCCUACACUUUCCAUCUCCAAACACUGUACUUACUUGGUAUAUAGUAAUUUCUCUGUGCUGACUACUGGGCAAAUUCUUCAAAUUUU
Molecule: long non-coding RNA, 554 nt
Filed under: Homo sapiens (human)
Lineage: Eukaryota; Metazoa; Chordata; Mammalia; Primates; Hominidae
Description: non-protein coding lnc-UXS1-7:1
Source: RNAcentral